GGAUAGUGCGACCAUAAGAGUUGU
This 24-nucleotide non-coding RNA is filed under the name Arabidopsis thaliana (thale cress). The record is from RNAcentral. Lineage: Eukaryota; Viridiplantae; Streptophyta; Magnoliopsida; Brassicales; Brassicaceae.